This 484-nucleotide ribosomal RNA is filed under the name uncultured bacterium. RNAcentral describes it as "partial 16S ribosomal RNA". It matches the Rfam family "Bacterial small subunit ribosomal RNA", at positions 30 to 507 of the family's 1533-position model. The record is from RNAcentral.
AUUGAACGCUGGCGGCAGGCCUAACACAUGCAAGUCGAGCGGAUGAAGGGAGCUUUCUCCUGGAUUCAGCGGCGGACGGGUGAGUAAUGCCUAGGAAUCUGCCUGGUAGUGGGGGAUAACGUCCGGAAACGGGCGCUAAUACCGCAUACGUCCUGAUGGAGAAAGUGGGGGAUCUUCGGACCUCACGCUAUCAGAUGAGCCUAGGUCGGAUUAGCUAGUUGGUGGGGUAAAGGCCUACCAAGGCGACGAUCCGUAACUGGUCUGAGAGGAUGAUCAGUCACACUGGAAGUGAGACAGGGACCAGACUCCUAAGGGAGGCAGCAGUCGGGAAUAUUGGACAAUGGGCGAAAGCCUGAUCCAGCCAUGCCGCGUGUGUGAAGAAGGUCUUCGGAUUGUAAAGAACUUUAAGUUGGGAGGAAGGGCAGUAAGUUAAUACCUUGCUGUUUUGACGUUACCAACAGAAUAAGCACCGGCUAACUUCGUG